RNAcentral lists this ribosomal RNA (253 nucleotides) under uncultured bacterium. Its description in RNAcentral is "partial 16S ribosomal RNA". It matches the Rfam family "Bacterial small subunit ribosomal RNA", at positions 524 to 776 of the family's 1533-position model. The record is from RNAcentral.
UACGUAGGGCGCAAGCGUUGUCCGGAAUUAUUGGGCGUAAAGAGCGUGUAGGCGGCCAGAUAGGUCAGCUGUGAAAACUCGGGGCUCAACCCUGAGACGUCGGUUGAAACCAUCUGGCUAGAGUCCGGAAGAGGAGUGUGGAAUUCCCGGUGUAGCGGUGAAAUGCGCAGAUAUCAGGAAGAACACCCGUGGCUAAGGCGGCUCUCUAGUACGGUACUGACGCUGAGACGCGAAAGCGUGGGGAGCGAACAGG